GGGGAGGAGGAGAGGGGGAGAGAGGGAGAGAGAGAGAGAGAGAGAGAGAGAGAGAGAGAGAGAGGAAAAUGAAAAAAAUUAACCUUGAUUUAUUCCCCAUCAAAACAAAACAAUCACCACAAAUCUAAUUCAACUUACAGUCAGGUUUGAACAUAUGUUUUAGGGUACCUCUCUGUAGAAUAUUCGUAUAUGUACAUAUGUACACAUGACUCUGUAUGGUAAAAGUACACUUACUGCUUUUAGAUCUGGCUGGCUGCUGUCAUACCCAGUAGUUAAAUCCCUUAUUCCAGAAACUUUAAAUCUACCACAAGAUUUUGGAUAUGUGUCUUUUCCAUCGUAAUUCCUAAGGUUGUCAAAAAGCUGCUGAAUCACUUUAGGAUCAUGGCAGAUGAAAUAUGAAGCUUUGGUAAUAUGAAAUCCAUAUCUGUGAAGACACAAUACCAAUCAAUUGAAGAAGGAGCAGUCUUAUUAGUUGUACACCACACACAUCACACAACAUUCUAUAAAGCAAGAAUCUAUAUAGGUUAACUGUAUCAUAAGUUCACCCUGUUACAGUUUUUUAGAUGUCUGGACAGUUCAAUUGCUCCACUUCACAUACUUGAAGAGGGAAAGGUCUCCAGAUACAUAUUUUCUUAAUAAUUGAAAGAGAGAAACUUCACUUCUAAACCAAAAGAAGAAAUGAUGCCAUGAGGAGAUCUAAAUGCACAGGAAGAGAACAAAAUAUGUCUAAAUAUGUAACCUUGAGUGGACACCAGCUGACCUCUUCUGACUAACAGAAUUUCCAGACUUUUUUCCAGACAAAUUUCAGAAACUGCUUUCCCAUUGAAGUGUUUCUAUUAAACUACAUUGUUCUGUCGAUAAUCUCUUUACAUUAUCAUCUCUUGACAUUAUCUAUUUGCUGCCAAAUAGCAUGAUGCCGAAUCUGCAUCAAAAACAACUUGCCUGCUAGCACUGAAUUUUCAGAACAGCAUGUUGUUGGAAAGCAUACAAACCUGGACUGGUUCUUUCAGUGACUCUUCCUAAAGAUAAACAGCUGAUGAGAAUCUUUGAUGCUGGGGGAAGUCUGAAGGACAGAAGCUUUCACUAGCAUUAUUACAUGCAUGCUAGAAAUCUGGAAGGCUGCUGAAACAGCAACAUAUUUAUACCUAAAUGAACAUCUUGAAGGUCAGUAGUUGUUAAUUCAAUCUUAAGAAUCCAGCAAGGGAAUUAAAAAAGCCUACCUUAUAUUUGAAACAAAUGAUGAACCUGCUACUAUGGACUAUGCCCUUUUCUUUAUCUACUUCAGCUUUGAAAUGGGGUAGUAAUGAUAACCCCAAAAUACUAAGUAGAGUUUCUUCUGCUCUACAAGCAGUUCACAAGAUAACCCUGACCAGAAAAGAAGGGAGCAGAAAAAUGGAACACUACACUAGCAACAAACAGUAAACAAAUAUCGAUGACCCCAACGCAAACCAAGUAAAGGCCCACCAUUCCAGUUAAUCUGGAAUAGUAACAGCAUCUGUUAAUAAGACAGAGCUGUUUUCUUCCCUGUAUAUCUGCAGGUUUUCCACAAGUGCUGACUAUGUGCAAGUGACAUGAACUAUCUUCCUCUGAGGUGCGUCUACAGGAUGCUUUCAUGCUAAAUAAGUCUGACCUUCUCAGCAGCUAUUUACACAGUGGACAAGUGGCAUUGCUACGUUCCACUCAGUUAAACAUUCCAAUUCUGAAGGCAACCUGAAUCAGGUGUUUACUGAAUAAGUACUUAAGCAAGCACAUGCCAGAGAAGGACAGACCUCUGAAUAUACAACACUUCCAACUACAAGCAGCAAAGAGAAUUUCCAAGUCAGGUACCACAUUUGUAGUUCUAGACGUUAUUUUCUGUGUCUUUGUUUUAACCAUUUCAUACUGUUUUUAAACUUCUGCUACAUACAAGAGCCGAUGAAUUCCAUGGUUUCUGCAAUGUUUUUGCCACCUGAUUCCUUCUUAAUUUUUGAUGAAACAAGUAUGUUUAGAGCUGUGAGGACUGGUGAAACAAGAAGCACAAAGGCUAUAGUUUUCCAUGAGUCUUUCUGCAAGAUCCACCACAGCUUUGUUAGGGACACCACUGGAAAUGAAGAGGUGGAGAGUAUCCACCAGCCUGUGCUGCUCCCUCCUUUUUACCAACCAACCUAGAAACCACAUGAGGAAUGCACCACCCUGCCCAGUGGAAUCCAACAGCCAUUUCAGCUAUUGAUUUCUGCAGGUCUUUGAAUUUGGUAAAGGAAAAAGAAAAAGGAGUGCCUCAUAUUCAAAGCUUUCAGAGGAAUACCCUGUUGGAUAUAGCAAGCAGAGCCAGUAAUAGCACAUCAACUGAAUCAGCUCAAAUCUGGGUAUUCAGGAGGAGAAAGAACACACACUAUCAAUCAGAAAAUGAAAGACAGAAUAAUAUAAUAAAAAUUCUAACUAUAGUGCCAACUAGAAUUAAUUUAAUCACAAGUAGUACUGCAAGCAGGACAGAAAUAAGCCAGAUAGCAUAAAUAUGCCAGAGCUACUUGGACACAUUCUGCCAUUAAUGUUUUUGUGCAUCUGGUGUGUUUAAGCAGCAAGAAGCACUAUGAGCUCCACAGUGCACCAAUACUGCUGGGGAAAACAAAACAAAACAAAGUCCAAUCUUUUGUACAAGAAAGAGCAGUGCUCAAGAGCCAAACUUCUCAAAUGGGGGAUACCCGUCAGAAGAACUAGAAAAUGUUACAAACACCUCUUUAAUAGAGUAAGAGUUAGGAAGGUAGUCAAUGUUUUAAAACUACACAAAACCAAGUCAUGUUGGUAUGGAGAUAGCAUAGGUAUAUGAUCUAGCAUAGGAGAGCUCGCUAGAUCACUGUUACCAUACCUGUGUGUUUGUUUCUUUGUAUACCAUAGAUUGCUAUUAAGCAACAUACAUGGAAUGGAGAAAAUCUGAAGAUUUGACAAUUAUAAUCAAACUCACUCAUCAUAGACAGCCUUCAGCUGCUGUGACAAAGACAAGUUCCUGGUUGCCAAAAAGCUAGCCAUCUCUGCAGUUAUAACAGCAGCACUGACACCAUCUUUGUCCAGAACAGCAGGGCAGCACAUAUACCCUAAACAAAGAAAAAGUUAUAUUUAUAUUUUACACAUUUUAUGGUUUUGUUUUUUGUUUUUUUUUUUUAAUAAGAAUAGUAGAUAGUGCUGGGGAUAGCAAUGGGAGCGCAGUGGAGGGUAAGACAGGUUGUUGUCUAAAGGAGAAGUGAAUAUUGCCAUAGUAUGUAUUUUGGUUUAAUUCUAUACUGAUUAUUCAGCAUAGACUAAGAUUUGAAAAUGUGAUUACCCUUCCACAGCAGUAUAUGGUAACACUGAGAAUCAUCCAUUAUAUAGUCACAUUUUCACUGUUUUCAGAUACUGAGAUACUCAAGAAACUGUAAAAACUUGUAGAGAAUGGUGCUACUAAAGACUUACAUACCCCUAGUUCACAUCACCAUAGUUGGUGCUAAGUAGAGAUUAGGAUUGCAUACUAGUAAUACCAAUCAGCCAAGUGGAUGAUAUCAAUAGCUCCCAUUAAGGUCAGAACUAGAUUGCCAUUUUUUGAGAGUAGAACACUUUCACUAUUUUAAAGGAUACCAGAACAUAAUAUACUUUCUUACCUAUCGCCUCUUCAAAUGCAAAAAGAACAGCUUUUCCCUGAUCCAUGAGCUGCUUGGCACGGUUCCCCAUCCACUUAAAACCUGUCAGUGUCUCCUACAAAAGCAAUGACAACAAAACCCCACAGACUUUAAAAAUAAAAGCAAUGUAGGAAGGCAAAUAGAAGUAUAUCCAGUAAUCUUCUAACAACUUACCUCAAAGUGAAAACCUUCCUUUAGUGCAAUUGCUCUCAGGAUUUUGGAAGAAACAGUGCUUGAUAACAUGUAGACAUCUUUAAUGGCACAAGCAUCCCUAUUUUGUUUUUUCCAGCAAGUGAAGAUCCACCAACCUAACAGAGCUCCCAGCUCAUUUCCAGAAAACACCUUCCAUUCACCACUGGACAGAGAAGAAAAAAAAACAGAGAAUUUAAAGGACAGUACUGGAAAAACUUCUACUGGUUCUUACAUACAUGAAAACUAGCAAAUAAAGCUACCACAUCUGAAUUCCAGGAUUUGGAUACUUCACUGUGGGAAAUUCUGGAUCAGGAUCCUUCUGCUCCGGAACAGCAAAAGGAGGUCUAAGAUCAAACGCCUUGAAGGCCAGCUGCACAAAUUUAUGACCUACACCAUGCACAGAAGUAUGAACAAAUUUCAGAUCUGCGACUCACUGUAGGUAUCCAAUGUUCUGGUACAUGCAAAUUACUGGAAAAAGAGUAAUACACUCUAUACACCCCAGAGGAGAAUUUGCAUGUAUAAAAAAAGAUUUAAUAGAGAAACAUACCACAAAAGGUGUCGGUGUUACAUCAGAGAAGAGAUAAACUGGAACUCCCUGACUGAUGAACGUAUUAGCAGCAAGUCUCGCAAACCUAAAUAACAAGAAAAGAAGCCUUGGAAAUAUAUUCAUUCUCUCAUCCAUUUCUUUGAAUUUCAAAGUUUUUCCUCCCCUCACUCCAAUUAAUAAAAUAAAAUAAAGGAAAUCAUUAUACACAACUUAAA
RNA transcript from Gallus gallus (chicken), 4583 nucleotides. RefSeq lists it as uncharacterized. The transcript is spliced from 4 exons. The record is from RefSeq and is a predicted model, not a curated record. NCBI's taxonomy places the organism in Eukaryota, Metazoa, Chordata, Aves, Galliformes, Phasianidae.